UCCGGUUUGUCACCGGCAGUCUCGCAUGAGUCCCCAACUAAAUGCUGGCAACAUGCGACGGGGGUUGCGCUCGUUGCGGGACUUAACCCAACAUCCCACGACACGAGCUGACGACAGCCAUGCAGCACCUGUCUUGCGGUUCCCGAAGGCACCCCGAGAUCUCUCCCAGGUUCCGCAGAUGUCAAGGCCAGGUAAGGUUCUUCGCGUUGCAUCGAAUUAAACCACAUGCUCCACCGCUUGUGCGGGCCCCCGUCAAUUCCUUUGAGUUUCAACCUUGCGGCCGUACUCCCCAGGCGGUGCGCUUAUCGCGUUAGCUUCGCCACAGAAGGGGUCGAUUCCUCCUACAGCAAAUGCGCACCGUUUAGGGCUAGGACUAC
Molecule: unclassified non-coding RNA, 377 nt
Filed under: uncultured bacterium
Lineage: Bacteria
Description: contains 16S-23S intergenic spacer region
Source: RNAcentral